Molecule: unclassified non-coding RNA, 338 nt
Filed under: soil metagenome
Description: partial contains 5.8S ribosomal RNA, internal transcribed spacer 2, and large subunit ribosomal RNA
Rfam family: 5.8S ribosomal RNA (bases 1-120)
Source: RNAcentral
GAUGAAGAACGUAGCGAAAUGCGAUAAGUAAUGUGAAUUGCAGAAUUCAGUGAAUCAUCGAAUCUUUGAACGCACAUUGCGCCCGCCAGUAUUCUGGCGGGCAUGCCUGUCCGAGCGUCAUUUCAACCAUCAAGCCCCCGGGCUUGUGUUGGGGACCUGCGGCUGCCCGCAGGCCCUGAAAACCAGUGGCGGGCUCGCUGUCACACCGAGCGUAGUAGCAAUCACCUCGCUCAGGGCGUGCUGCGGGUUCCGGCCGUUAAACAGCCUUACAAACCCAAGGUUGACCUCGGAUCAGGUAGGAAGACCCGCUGAACUUAAGCAUAUCAAUAAGCGGAGGA